AGCUUUCGGCCAGAGCUGACGACCUCCCUCCCAAGCCCAAUGCUAAAGCCCGUGCUUGACGAACGCCGGCAGCCCAGCUAACUGAGGAGCCAACACAGAGAAGUGUAGCUCACUGAACGGGUGUGAAGUGCAGUGCCUUAUAAAAUAAAAUUAUCAAAUAUACUCGUGUUUGUAUAGUACGUGGGAUUACGAUUACGAUACAUCUGGAAUGUUUGAGUGAAAUUUCCCAAUGAUCAGUGAUUUUUGCCAGAGCCAUCGACGGAUUGUUACUUUCUCGGCUAAUGGUUUUGUAAUGAAUUGAAUUGUUGCUAAUCGCAACGAUUUUGCUUUCAGAACAAUUUUUUUUUCACUUAUUUUUUUGGUUAUGCAAAUUGGCCGUGUUUUUCUUGGUGAAUUUGGUAUUAAUUACUCAUAUUUUUGUUGUUCUCGCGCACAGACGGGAAAAAUAAUAUAUACUCGUGUAUAUCUAUAAGAACGAGAAACACAUUUCUUGUAUGCAAAUUAAAUGAGUUGCUUAUUGUGCAGUCCGAAGAAUCCAAAAGAAUAUUUUUCGCCCCUUGCAAGUGUACAAAACAUACAAAAGUAAAAAGUAAUAAUAAUAAUCACAGCAGACUCGGUCCCAAAAAAAUUCAAAAUUGAACCUGUUCUGUUAUAGACCUGCGUUGGAGUUACGGAGGAAUCACGCGGCCGUGGGGACACUUUGAGAUUGAGUUCAUUGAUUGAACGUCCCAGCGCUGCGUCAUGUUGUUGCUGCCAUCGCAAUCAUGUCCAGCAACAACAGGAACAACAACCACUACAAGCAACUACGAAAACUAAUUUGCAAAAAUCAUAAAAACAAAAUCAGAAUCACGAGACAAUAAACGCAGACAGUAUAACUCUAUCAAGCUGGUAUAAGAUCAAAGUGGAACAAAAUCCAGCAGCAGUUACAAACGCAAGAAUAGCUGAAAAAUUUCAGUAUAUUUUUGGUUCACACUAAAACAAGACAACUGAGAAACCGCACUGGAAGAGUAACAGCAACAAGAACCACUAAAAGAACCACAAGCACAAGUGUCUCCAUUUUCUUGUGCGAAAAACCAUUCUGUGAUAUCUCAAGACCCAAAGAUGGCAUCGUUAACCUUGCACUUGAUAGUGAUAACUCUUCUGGCGGCGGCAGCUAUGACAACGGUAACAGCAGCAACGCGGCAGCGGGGCAGAGGAAAAGCAGCAGCAUCCACGACUAGCACCGAAGUGCCAACGCUGCGGGCGCCCCGACAGCGCCGUCCGCCCACUACGCAAUCAAUUGAAAUCCAGUUGUUCUCGAGUCGCAGUCGGAGUCUGAGCCGCAGCAGCAGCAGCAGCACCACCACCACCAGCAGCCCGCCCUUGCCACAAACAUCAGAUAAUAAGCAGCAGCAGCAGCAGCAGCGUCGCCGCUUCACUACCACAUCGACAACAACUACAACAGUCGCACCUUCGGCGAAGACCCUGCGGGACCGGGGAAGCGUGAGAGGUGCGCGUCAGCCCCGCGACACGCCCGCGCUGAGCAGCGUCAGCGAAUUCGGUGGCAGCAGCAACAGCAUCAGCCGCAGCUGGGGCCAGCCGCAAGCUCUACCCAGCAGUGCCAUUCCUUCUGUCCACAUCGCCAAUACUGCCACUUCCGAUUUCGCAUCCACAUCUAGUUUGGCUUCUCGAGGCGGCGCGUUAAAAACGCCGCGCAUGAUCCAGAGAUUAGUGGCUGGACACAUACAAAAUGCGCAGGGACAUUCCACCUACGAGGUGUCGGCGGUGAGUGCCAAUAGCUCACACUCGGCCUCCACUUCCCUGCCAACAACGACCACAGCCAAAUCCACACCCACGUCGAACUCACGGGGCAAUGGCAAGGCAAGCAGCAGCUAUCGUCUCGCCAAGCCAUAUCCAACACCGCCACCAUCCCCAUCCCUCCCAAACCCUGAUGACAACGACAACGACGAUGACGAGGCGUUGCUGAAUGAGGCAGAUGACUUCGACAACUGGGACAACGGGAUUCUUCGGCUGAGUGCGGGGUCGGGGAAGGAAGCCGAGGCGCCGUCAAAGAAGCCGCUCAAGGAGGACGCGAAAAAGACGCUGGCCGACCAGGUAAGGGAUGGCAAGUACGGGCUGAUUGAGAAGGAGCUGUUUCGCCGCAUACCCAAGCGACCAGGGGUGUUGAGCUAUGCCCGAAACUCCGAGGUGCCGCUGGAUAAUGAACGUAACUACGGGGGACUCAGCGAGCAGGACAUCUGGCUUUCUGAGGAUCACCUGCUUGUGAUCAAGGGAGGCAGCCUUAAUGAGGAUGAGGAUCAUGGCGGGGGCCAAUGGCCGCCCAUAGACGAUUACGAUGCGCCACCGCGACAAAUUAAGCUGCCAGCAAAUCCAGCGGUUCCGCCUCCCUUUCCCGUGCAGCUCGAGCCGCAUGGGCCGCUGCAGAUUAUCCGAGAUAAUCAACUCGAGAUCCUCCAUCCGCCGCCUGGCAAUGCAACGCUAUCCGCUGACCUACCCAAGCAGGCGUCCAACCAGGGCUACGCUCCCACCCCGGCCCACACGGCGCAUCCUUCUUCCCGGGCGGGAGCGACAACAGCGUCUAAGGCAACUGCGCCCCCCUACGUCUAUCCGGCGCCCUAUGCCCAGUGGCUGCUAUACCCCAAUGAAACGACCCCGGGCAAUGGCCUGCUGAGUUCAUCGCCUCCACUGUUGGGGCCCUGGCUGAUAAACGGGCUGCAUGGCAACGGCUCCCUGACAGGGAAUACUGCAGCUCUUCCUGGGAAUGGCAGCGAUUUCGAUGAGGACGACCCUUCACUUUAUUAUCCGCCGGCCUAUAGCUUUGUGUACAAAAGUAAUUACUCAAAUCCGGUGCCGCCGGGUCCGCUAGUUCCUGGGAUUGUCCUACCCCCUCCGCCAGAUCAUUUUAGCCGCUUGGACAUCCAUUCAACGACCACCACUCGCAGACCCACCACAAGCAGCACCAUCUCCACCACCACCACAACCACCACCAGCACAACCACGCCACAUCCACCUACGUCUCCACUACCGCUCAGGACAUCGUACAAGCCCAAAUACAAUGCCAUCAGCUACCUGCCGACUUCUCGCCAGCACCACCCUGCUCCAAAGUAUGUUGAGCGGGUGCCAGUGCCCGUGGCGGUUCCCAUACCCAUCUACCCCAUUAACUACACGCCCAGGCCCGAGGCCAAGCUUGUGUUUGUGCCCAGUUCCACGGAGGGCAAGGCCCAGGAUAUGGAUCCGCCGCUCUCAAAGUCCAACCCCAUCUACUACGAGUACUUCGAGGCUAAGCGCCAGCCGGGGUCGAUCAAGUCCAAUGUUAUCGAGGACUUUCUGCCCACCAAAUCACCGAAGCGCCAUCACCUUCAUCAUCAUCUUCACUACAAGGCAUCGGUCGGUCCGUCCAACGACGUGACAGAUGUUGUGAACAUCACUCCAAAGCCGCGGAACGCCCAGCUUCAGCUAAAUGCGGAGUACGAUGCCGCCCUGGGGCAGCUUCUGAGGAGCAACCUCAUAUCGGCAGCACCAGCAACAGGAGCAGCCACCGUAACUGGUCGCUUUCAUGCACCAGACUUUGACAAACAGCCCUUCCUGCCCAUGGUUAACUACAGUGCAGACGAACAAGACCAGAAUGCCUUUAAGGCCAUCGUAUAUCAGCCUCCCCCGUCCCGCCAGCGACAGCUGAGGGUGGGAAAGCAGCAGCAACAGCAGCAGCAGCAGCAGCUUCAGCUGGACACCACGGAUGACUCCUAUCUACCCGAACGGCAACUGAGAGUAGGCAAGCUGCAGCAGCAGCAGCAGCAGGUCUACGACUCCCAAAUCUUCAGCACCCCAGGGCCACACUACGUUGACGAUCAGGUCAGGGGAGGAGUCCAUCUGCGUCCUCCUGCUCCUGUUCCUGUUCAGACAGGUGCGUUGCAGUUCUGGCAGCGUCCUCCGCCCCAGUUCAAGCGCGUGCGGCAAGGAAGUAAGCAUCCGCAUCCUCAUCCGCACCUACACCCUUAUCCACCGUACUUCGUGCCCAGUUAUCCAAGUGCCCCGGCCGGAGAGCCUCUCUAUCGUCUGGUACCUGUGGCCCAGCACAAACACUGGCGCACUAAGCCUCAACAUCCUCUCCAGCAGGCCCAGCAGCAGUCGCAGCCCAUUCAGGUGCCUCCCCACGCGCAGUCCUAUCCGGACAGGGCCGUCAACAUUGGGCAUAGCCUGGCCGGCGACAUCUUGGUCAACUACAACAGCAACAAUCAGUUUAACCCCCAGGCGGAGUUAGUGCCUCAGGCUCAGUUGGCAGCGCCACCGCCACCGCCUCUGUCUUACCAGGCCCAGAGUGGCCAGGGUCUGGGGGGUCCGCUCUGGUCGGAGCGUGAGAAGCCGGCGCGGCAGCCACGUGCCCAGUAUACUGAGCAACAGCAACAGCAGCAGCAGCAGUAGACGAUGGAGAUAAAGAUGGUUUCUAUGUCAUUGAUAAGCGUAAUGUCAAAAUGUGAUCUAUGGGGAGGACAAUCCAACAGUAAGCCCAGCUUUUCCCAAAAUUAAAUUAGAGUAUUGCUGAUGCUGAUUUUGCCUCAUUUUCGAUUCUUCUUUUCCAUGUAUUCAAAGUUCUCCAUUCCGACCAAAGUAUUUCAGUGGCACAUUCCUUGUCAGUGGAUAAGUAGAGAUAGUUUUAUCUGUUUUAUCCAACGCGUCCGUCUUUGUCCGUCAGAUCUGAUGGCAAUGGUUUUACAAUGCACACAGCUGGCAUUGAGGCUACACAUAUGUAUGUAUGUACUUUGUUCCCAUUUCUUCUUUCCGAUACGACAACAUCAGCAUACCCGGAUCUGGCUCCAUAGCCUUCCUUUCAAUGGGGAGGCGCAAGUAAUUAGUGAUGGAAAAUGAGGAAAGAACUAAUGUUCUUCAUUCCUUACAUCGACUUCUUCCCUUCCAAACGUUAUAAACUUGCUCCCCGAGUUAUAUUCUACAAAUUAUAAAUAAAUAUAUUAUGUAGAGCUGGUCAUUUAAGAUAAAUUAUAAUUUGAGGCCUGUUCACUCGCCUCAUUUGUGACAAGCAUCGAUAUACGUAUCGCGUAUCGCUUACAGGGUUACACAUCUAUCCAAACUGGAUGUGCGCUUCAAGGCUUUUAGCUAAUAUGCAAGAUACACAGAUAUCUAUAUAUGUAUACAUAAAUAUGUAUAUAUAGCAACAUGAUAAAUAUUCGUGAACCUAUGUGAACGAUGAAGUGUACGCAAAAUAAUCGAUGAAAGUUAUUCGUGCAUUGCACAAAACCUAGUUUAAGGGAGAAAAACGGAUAAUUUUCUUUGUAUGAUAUCCUUAAUUUUCUGUUCAAUCCUGUUUAUACACACAUGCUAUACCACAUACACUAUAUGUACUAUUUAUUGUUUCCCUUUGAAUGUUUUCAAAAUCCAUGCGAAAUUUUGUAUAAAAGCCAUAACAACUAAGGUCACUGUAAGUUACUAGAAACGCUGCAACAAUCACGUUAUGCAACUAAUAAACAUGAUAAAUAAUCGUACGCAAAUACCAUAUGUUAAAAUUUAAACAAUUAGAUAUACGACCUUUUUUUUAAAUUUUAUCAU
This 5562-nucleotide unclassified non-coding RNA is filed under the name Drosophila pseudoobscura pseudoobscura. Its description in RNAcentral is "GA27930". The record is from RNAcentral. Lineage: Eukaryota; Metazoa; Arthropoda; Insecta; Diptera; Drosophilidae.